This 536-nucleotide ribosomal RNA is filed under the name uncultured bacterium. RNAcentral's name for it is "bacterial SSU rRNA". It matches the Rfam family "Bacterial small subunit ribosomal RNA", at positions 974 to 1509 of the family's 1533-position model. The record is from RNAcentral.
CCUGGCCUUGACAUACUAAGAACUUUCCAGAGAUGGAUUGGUGCCUUCGGGAACUUAGAUACAGGUGCUGCAUGGCUGUCGUCAGCUCGUGUCGUGAGAUGUUGGGUUAAGUCCCGCAACGAGCGCAACCCUUUUCCCUAUUUGCCAGCGGGUAAUGCCGGGAACUUUAAGGAUACUGCCAGUGACAAACUGGAGGAAGGCGGGGACGACGUCAAGUCAUCAUGGCCCUUACGGCCAGGGCUACACACGUGCUACAAUGGUCGGUACAAAGGGUUGCUACCUCGCGAGAGGAUGCUAAUCUCAAAAAGCCGAUCGUAGUCCGGAUCGCAGUCUGCAACUCGACUGCGUGAAGUCGGAAUCGCUAGUAAUCGCGGAUCAGAAUGCCGCGGUGAAUACGUUCCCGGGCCUUGUACACACCGCCCGUCACACCAUGGGAGUUUGUUGCACCAGAAGUAGGUAGUCUAACCGCAAGGAGGACGCUUACCACGGUGUGGCCGAUGACUGGGGUGAAGUCGUAACAAGGUAGGCGUAGAUGA